UAUUGGGGAUUUAGAGUAUCUUUAAUAGGUGGGAAGAAUUUCACAGGAAGUAGUGGAGAUUCAUAGAUUGAAUUACAUCAGGGGAAAUUAUGUAUUGUGAUCUUUUUUAUGCAUGUGAUUUUCUGGAUAAAAAUUUUUUGUAAGUCCCUGUGGUUCCACGAGGACUUCAUCUACCCACUAGGUUUUUCUUCUCAUGGGUCGUGGCUUAUGCUUGAGUAGCAGUCAAGCAAGGCACACUCAUAGGGAACCAUCCUCAUGAUGGAGAACUUUGUUAGUGUGUGUAUAAGACAUAUAAAGAGCCAAUAGACCAUAUUGUCUUUUCCUGCAACUUAUCACCCUUUGUGCCGGUGCUUUGGGUGUACUGGGUAGUUCCCCACAUUUUGAUGUAUCAAAUCGGGAGGGGAAUAUGCAAUAAUGUCAUCUUCAGUUCAUGCUGAUUUUUUCCUCGUCUUAGGUGUAACAGUCAGAGAGAAGCUGUGAACAGCCAGACAGUGGCAAGUGUUGCCUAAUUUAUUGUUUUGUAAGGUUUUGAAGUUGUUUCCGCUAGGGCUUGAGUGACGGUGAGUGAAGGAGAGACUGCAUGUUUUUUCUCCUGUUUGUAUUGUGUUUGUGGUUUAAGCCUUCGUGAUGAGAAGUGAAAUCUUAUUCAUUUGGGUUCACUGUAAAGUAUUUUUGAUGGAACAGUAGUAAUUUUGUUUGAAUGCUCUUUAGGUAUGUUCUGAUCUUCACGUGAUGAACUUUUGCAUGGUAGAAGAGUUUCAGGCGUGUGUUUUUAUGGUCAUUAUAACUUUCAAGUGA
This is a non-coding RNA of Amborella trichopoda, 798 nucleotides long. NCBI's taxonomy places the organism in Eukaryota, Viridiplantae, Streptophyta, Magnoliopsida, Amborellales, Amborellaceae. The record is from RefSeq and is a predicted model, not a curated record.